AGCUCUAGCUAGCCCUCCAAGAGCCUCUCUGCCUACCAGCCUACCUAGUCAGCCAACUACUCUCUCUUCUAUGAUACAUCCUUGAUUUAUUGUAUCUGGAUGAAAUAUAGUCUAUUCAGAGUCAGAAAUCAAAAGGCUUAGAUUGAAGUUCUAGCUCUGCUACUUUCUAGCGAUAUAUUUGAACCUCUGUUUCCUCAGAGGUAAAAUCGAAAUUAUAAUUUCCAUAAAUUCAAGAAAUGAGCUCAAAGGGGAUAAUGCAUAUGAAGCUCACUGAAAACUGUAGAGCACCAUAAAGAAGUACAAUGUCAAGUAUUUCUGCACCCACUUGGUAGCAGUCACAACCUUACAGUUCACCCCAUGAAGACAUGAACAAAGUUAAGACCCUGGCAGGAAAGAGGAACUCUCUAGGCAUUUACUCUUAGCACUGUUAUGCUGUAGAAACAAGAAUUUGUCCACUGGCUCUAUCUGAAUGCCAACUAAUGGGCACAAGGUUCUUGUGAGAACGAAAAUACUACAAAUAUGAGUGAUGGUUCCUAAGGCGUGAGCCUCUGUCAGUAUUAUGAGUAUACAGCAUAAGCUUCAACCUUGGCAGGAGACAAAUUAGUGGCCACCUAUGAGGUACAACAUAAAAAAUUCCAGAUAAGUUCCUGUUUCUUAGUGAUUCUCCCUCCAUUCUCCAAUACCCUCCACAGUUCAUUAUUAGAGCUUCAUUUAGUCAAGCUUUGGAGGGUUUUUGGUCUUCAAAUGCCCCUUAUUUAAACCUGUGAGCCCUUAAAUCGCUUCCAUCUCAUACCUUAGUGAGUUUAGCUGAAGGUGAAGAGGAGCAGAAUCAUACAGAAUAGAAGUCAAGAGGGGAAGGGAAGAGUGGAGGGCCUUGGAGGUUCAUGAGAGGGUCAAAGAGGGGACCAGGAGGACUGAAAACAAAGUCCACACUCAGCCUAGUUUUGCUUUAGCCAGACCUUGUUAAUAUAUGUUGCUUGGCUGUCAUUCUUUUUGUAUCCAGCAGCUUACAAUUAGCCUUGAUGGCUGAUGAAGCAAAAGUGAAAAGAACAUGUGAUUUUUUUUUUUUAACUUUUAAAUGUUAUCUCUGGACCUGUCUCAGCCCACACAGAGGUCAGAGAGGAAGGUGGGGGCUGCUGGCAAGAGGGGGACCUGCCUUGUGGUUUGAGCCCAAAGCCGAUGGGGCUUCCCACCAGCAGCCCUAGCUUGGCAGCAUGGCACUGGAGGCAUGCCUCUUUGGAAACGUAUCGGAGCCCUGCCUAACUGUGUCUGCUCCUCCUCAACAUGCUUCCUUUUCCAUCUACAGUAUUUAGAAAGAUGAGAGACAACGCUGCGAAGAACACAAAGGCUUUUGCAAUUCCGUCUCUGGCUUCACAUUCAAAGCUGUUGCUAUCAGGGUUGGAUUUAGCAACUUGGCAUUCACUUCACAGGACCACCCCUGUUGGCGGCCAUCUGGAGUCUUUUGGAGAAUUUUUAAAGAGACAGUGCUUAGAGAGCAUUUGGUAGUGGAGAAAGCUCUAGUAUUCAAUCCAGGAAGCCUGGUCUGCGCCCACGAUGAGUAGCUAAGUGACCUUGGGCAAUCCACUGCACUUCCUUGAACCUCUGUCUCUUCAUCAGUUCAGUGAUUUGUCAAUUUCUUGCAAGAUUUAAUAGUCUAGGGCAAAGGUCCCCAAAGUGUGGUCUCUGGAGGUGCAGCAGUCAGUAUCUAGCAGAGCCUAGUAGAAGGCACAUUCUCAGCCCCCACCCAGGCCUCCUGAAUCAAAAAUCCUGGGAGGAGGGCCCAGCAAUCUCUGUUUAAGAAACAGUCCAGGGGAUUCUGACACACAGCCAAAUUGGAGAACCACUGCUGUAGGGCUCCUUGUUCCCCUUCUGCUGUUGCCAGUGUGCCUGGGCAACACUGAUUUGCUGUUGGUCAAAAGUUUCUGACUGGUGGCCCAAGGAAGCACUCACUUGCAAAAGAUGGCUGAGCCCACAGCUGGAGAGGCCCAAAUCAGAGAGGCAGGGAACCUGGAGGAAAGCCCUGCCUCACUUCCCCAGCCCCUCCCACUGCCAAAGUUUCAGAAAACUUGGAGGCUUGUCUAUUGAACAGCUCUACAUCAUACCAUGGUCCCUACAGAUGGUCAGCUGACUUUCCACUGGGUUUGGCCAAUAGAAGAAAUCUGGUGAGAGAAAAGAAUGAAGAAAUAGUCUCAGAAGCAUUGAGAAAUCACCCCAAGGUCACAAGCUCUUGCUGGAACU
Bos taurus (domestic cattle) is the source of this 2238-nucleotide long non-coding RNA. Lineage: Eukaryota; Metazoa; Chordata; Mammalia; Artiodactyla; Bovidae. The record is from Ensembl.